AAAAUAUAAGUUUCGCGGGUCGAGUAAUGGGCCGACCUCUGACUGUAUCGGGUACCCGUUAAAUACCCGGAAUUUUUUUUUUUUUUUUUUUAUAAUUUUAUUAGCUGGAAGUCCUUUAGGGAAUUAGGGUCUUUCCUCUUACUCUCUUAGUAGCCGCACACUAACCCCUCUCCUUUUCUCUCGCCUCUUUCACUAUCAAACACACACUCUCAAACACUCCCAGGCAAUCUCCUUCCUCCUUAUCAGGCGACCUCCGUCAAUGCCUUUCAGGCGACCUCCGUCAAUCCCUUUCAGGCGACCUCCGAUCCGUCAGACCCUCUCGGGCAACCUCAGAUCCGCCGCGCAAGGGAUUAUAGACUUGGCUUUGGAGCAACCAACAAUUAUCAUUGAUGAAACUAUUGAAGCUUCGGAUGUCACAACUCACAAGUGACAGAAUUUAUUCCCUCUCCCACUUAGUUUGAUUUGUGGCUUUGAGAAUAUUGUUUGGACUUUGUAAUUUAUUUGGUUGUUUUGUUUUUAUCUAUUAAAACGGCAGGUUUAAGGCCAUAUUACGACA
Molecule: long non-coding RNA, 556 nt
Organism: Chenopodium quinoa (quinoa)
Lineage: Eukaryota; Viridiplantae; Streptophyta; Magnoliopsida; Caryophyllales; Amaranthaceae
Exons: 2
Source: RefSeq, a predicted model, not a curated record